This 800-nucleotide ribosomal RNA is filed under the name uncultured bacterium. RNAcentral describes it as "bacterial SSU rRNA". It matches the Rfam family "Bacterial small subunit ribosomal RNA", at positions 8 to 786 of the family's 1533-position model. The record is from RNAcentral.
AGAGUUUGAUCCUGGCUCAGAACGAACGCUGGCGGCGUGCCUAACACAUGCAAGUCGAACGGGAAAACCCGCAAGGGUGAGUACAGUGGCGCACGGGUGCGUAACACGUGGGUAAUCUGCCCAGAAGCCCGGAAUAACUCCCCGAAAGGGGUGCUAAUGCCGGAUGAGACCACGGGGACUUCGGUUCCUGGGGGAAAAGGUGGCCUCUGUAUACAAGCUAUCACUUCUGGAUGAGCCCGCGGCCCAUCAGCUAGUUGGCGGGGUAAUGGCCCACCAAGGCUACGACGGGUAGCUGGUCUGAGAGGACGAUCAGCCACACUGGAACUGAGACACGGUCCAGACUCCUACGGGAGGCAGCAGUGGGGAAUCUUGCGCAAUGGGCGAAAGCCUGACGCAGCAACGCCGCGUGUGUGAUGAAGGUCUUCGGAUCGUAAAGCACUGUCGGGAGGGACAAAUAAGGGCCGGGUGAACAAUCCGGUCCGACGACGGUACCUCCAGAGGAAGCACCGGCUAACUCUGUGCCAGCAGCCGCGGUAAUACAGAGGGUGCUAGCGUUGUUCGGAAUUAUUGGGCGUAAAGCGCGUGUAGGCGGCCGGCCAAGUCGGAUGUGAAAGCCCUCGGCUUAACCGAGGAAGUGCGUUCGAUACUAGCUGGCUUGAGUACCGGAGAGGGUGGUGGAAUUCCCGGUGUAGAGGUGAAAUUCGUAGAUAUCGGGAGGAACACCAGCGGCGAAGGCGACCACCUGGACGGAUACUGACGCUGAGACGCGAAAGCGUGGGGAGCAAACAGGAUUAGAUACC